This is a long non-coding RNA of Daphnia pulex (common water flea), 737 nucleotides long. RefSeq lists it as uncharacterized. NCBI's taxonomy places the organism in Eukaryota, Metazoa, Arthropoda, Branchiopoda, Diplostraca, Daphniidae. The transcript is spliced from 2 exons. The record is from RefSeq and is a predicted model, not a curated record.
CAUUAAACAACAGUCAAGUCAACUACUAUGUAGUUCCUCCACUUCAAGGCACCGUUAACAUAAUGUGUGGGUGCGCUGCGUGUUCAGGAACCUUGUAUGAAUCGAAGAUCGCCUCGAAGAUCGCAGAAGAGUCCGUUGAAAUGAUAUGGGAGCAGCUUUUAUCGUUCCUAAUUUCCUUGGACACUAAGGCUGACAGACUUGGAGAAUGGAAAGAACAGAAACCCCUGUUAGAAAACCUCUUUUAUCGCUUUUUUAAACUUGGUCUGAAAUUGAUAGAAUUGGGGGAUUGCGUUAAGAACUACCCCAGCAAUGUAGAUGCUACCAUAACAUCUUUGAUUAGAAACAGACGUUGGAUUCAGCGGCAUCUUUAUCUCUUCACCUCAUUAGAUUACGAUCGUCGAAUGGCUACAACAUUCCAUUAUAUCUGCAGAUUUCGAUCCGGAAUUCAGUUUCUUGUGGACGAUUUUUCGGAUAUUUCUUUUAGAUUUGAUCAAAUUCUAAAAAAUUUCAAAUGUGGCGAUUUUCUUAAUGAACAUAAUGAUUUAGAAGAUCUUGAUAGUGAUUUGCAUUUGUUGAAACCUUUAGAUCCUUAUUUACAUCCUGAUCCUUUUGAAACUCCCUCAAGUAUCCCCAAACAUCAUUGGUGGUGGUUUUGACGAAUCAAAAUGGGUGUGAUGCAACUUUUGUGUUGGUUUAUAAAUAAAUACAGCUCAAAAAUUAUUUGAAAAAAUUUAACA